CUCCCUGUCAGCUCACGAGAGACCUGCACAGCUACCCUGCACUCCCCAACCCUCUGCCAAGGCUGAGAAGUUAUUAGGAGUCCAUGAGCCCCAGUUCUCUUCAACCAUGUCCCAGCAAGAGCCUCCAGACCAGGAUGAGGACCCAGCUGACAGAGCCCUACCCAGAAUGAUUGGAGGCCUCUGCAAUAAACAGCUGCCUGGAAGAGAACACCGAACAGGCCUUGGUCACAUCUGCUGUGAUAAGGAAGGAGGUGACAUGUGAGCCUUGCCUGAGCCAACAACAAGAGAUGGGAGUUGAAGGAGGUGAGGGCAAGGAGGGGAAGGUGGAGCUUUGUUUCCCAGCAACUUCCACUUCCUGGGAGGUGGGAUGAUGACUUCCAUUCCAUCCUGCAGAGAGACAAGAUGGCCCAGUGGUUAAGAACUCCAGCUCUAGGAACAAACAGAUGUGCCUGGGCGUUGACCACACUUUCAGCUCCACCAUUUGCUAGCCGUGUGACCUCGGGUGGGGUGUCUUCACUUCUCUGAACCUCAGUUUUCUGUUUUGUAAAAUGCAGGUACCUAUGGGACCUGUCUCAUAGAGCUGCUUUAAAAAUUCAGUGAGGCAACA
Molecule: long non-coding RNA, 607 nt
Organism: Cervus elaphus (red deer)
Lineage: Eukaryota; Metazoa; Chordata; Mammalia; Artiodactyla; Cervidae
Exons: 3
Source: RefSeq, a predicted model, not a curated record